RNAcentral lists this ribosomal RNA (637 nucleotides) under Nodularia spumigena CCY9414. RNAcentral describes it as "bacterial SSU rRNA". It matches the Rfam family "Bacterial small subunit ribosomal RNA", at positions 1 to 682 of the family's 1533-position model. Lineage: Bacteria; Bacillati; Cyanobacteriota; Cyanophyceae; Nostocales; Nodulariaceae. The record is from RNAcentral.
AAAACGGAGAGUUUGAUCCUGGCUCAGGAUGAACGCUGGCGGUAUGCUUAACACAUGCAAGUCGAACGGUCUCUUCGGAGAUAGUGGCGGACGGGUGAGUAACGCGUGAGAAUCUGGCUUCAGGUCGGGGACAACCACGGGAAACUGUGGCUAAUACCGGAUAUGCCGAGAGGUGAAAGGCUUGCUGCCUGAAGAUGAGCUCGCGUCUGAUUAGCUAGUAGGUGUGGUAAAAGCGCACCUAGGCGACGAUCAGUAGCUGGUCUGAGAGGAUGAUCAGCCACACUGGGACUGAGACACGGCCCAGACUCCUACGGGAGGCAGCAGUGGGGAAUUUUCCGCAAUGGGCGAAAGCCUGACGGAGCAAUACCGCGUGAGGGAGGAAGGCUCUUGGGUUGUAAACCUCUUUUCUCAGGGAAGAAAAAAAUGACGGUACCUGAGGAAUAAGCAUCGGCUAACUCCGUGCCAGCAGCCGCGGUAAUACGGAGGAUGCAAGCGUUAUCCGGAAUGAUUGGGCGUAAAGGGUCCGCACGUGGCUAUGUAAGUCUGCUGUUAAAGAACCUAGCUUAACUAGGUAAAAGCAGUGGAAACUACAAGGCUAGAGUGCGUUCGGGGUAGAGGGAAUUCCUGGUGUAGCGGU